RNAcentral lists this ribosomal RNA (253 nucleotides) under uncultured bacterium. RNAcentral describes it as "partial 16S ribosomal RNA". It matches the Rfam family "Bacterial small subunit ribosomal RNA", at positions 524 to 776 of the family's 1533-position model. The record is from RNAcentral.
UACAGAGGGUGCAAGCGUUGUUCGGAAUUAUUGGGCGUAAAGGGCGUGUAGGCGGCAUGCAUAGUCUUCUGUGAAAUCUACGGGCUUACCCCGUAACGUGCAGAGGAUACUGGCAAGCUAGAGUGUCGGAGAGGAUAGUGGAAUUCCAGGUGUAGAGGUGAAAUUCGUAGAGAUCUGGAGGAACACCAGUGGCGAAGGCGACCAUCUGGCUGACAACUGACGCUGAGACUCGAAAGCAUGGGGAGCAAACAGG